AUCACUGCACAGGAAUGAAAUUCUUCUUGUGUUCAGGUGCAACUUCUGUGCAUCAGUGUCUGCCCAUUACCUCUCGUGCUAUUGCU
Sturnus vulgaris (Common starling) is the source of this 86-nucleotide non-coding RNA. NCBI's taxonomy places the organism in Eukaryota, Metazoa, Chordata, Aves, Passeriformes, Sturnidae. The record is from RefSeq and is a predicted model, not a curated record.